RNAcentral lists this long non-coding RNA (1903 nucleotides) under Olea europaea (common olive). RNAcentral's name for it is "long non-coding RNA (OEUR_LNC010853)". Lineage: Eukaryota; Viridiplantae; Streptophyta; Magnoliopsida; Lamiales; Oleaceae. The record is from RNAcentral.
AUGAUAAAUUAUUUCAUUAAGGGUAUUAUAGACAUUUUACCAAAAAUGAAUAGUAGUAGGCCAUUUAUAAAAAUCUCCCAAUAUCAAGUCACAAAUUAAUCAUAUUGUUGGUGACAUACGCCAAAACACCCCACUCCCACCUCCAAUCUCUAUCUACCGCCGCCGCAGAUGGUCACCCACAUUUCUUCACGCCUCACUUGUCUUCAACAUCAACGAUUCAUCUACAGUCGCUAUCAUCGGCCGCCACCUAUACUAAAGCCGGCAAACCACUUCGACUACCACCAUUUCAUUUGAGUCGCCCGGUGCUCCUCUGUAGUAUAUACACCGCUAGAAACCAUUUUCACCACCUCCAAGGUCAAACUCCGUUCCUUCUCAUCAUGAAUCGCCACCAAACAACUCCCACAACUUCAUCCCUAUCGGUGGUUGCCUGUCUCUCUGACUGCCCCACCUCUACCUCACACUUUCAUAGCAAGCCCAUAUUGUCCACAAUUAACACAGUCGUCGUAGUCAACAUCAAGGGCCACUGUCGGAAGAACAAUUCUAAAGCAUGCGACGACGAGACCGCUGUCGGUAGAGAGUGAGAGAUCCACAGCCAUCUCCAUAUCCCUUGACUACAUCAACACCCCUGCAAAUUCAGUACACACCAGCAUCCCCACAGAUUCACUACAUCGCCACGAGCUACAUCGCCACGUGCGACGGCGAGGUGCUCUAAAAACAAGUCGGGUUGCUGAAUCGACGACGGAAGUGACACAUGAGCAGAGAGACAAUGGUGAAGAGAGAUGAGAGGAGAGGAGAGGAGAGGGCGGUAGAUGGUGGUGUGGAGAGGAGAGGAGAGGAGAGAAGAAAGAAAAAUCAAUUUAGGGCUUGAAUGGGGUAGGGUGUAUGUAUAUAGAGUAAUUUAUAGUAUUAUUAUUUAAAAUAUUCAUUUAUAAUAUUUAAAUUAAGAUCUGAUUUUUGUAUAAAUGAAUGUUUGCUCUUAUUUUUGAAAUUGGAUAUUUAAAAGUAAGAUAUGGUGUAAUUUCCUCAAAUUCAUAAGCCAUGUGUUAAUUAUGUACAAUUUAAAAAUCAAGUUUUAAGUUUAAUUAGUGCAAAAUUUAGAUUUUUAUUUAAUUAAUUAAAAAUAUUUAUUAAUUAUAUAUAAUAAGAUCACAAUUAUACAAUUAGUGAUCACGUGUAUAAAAUUAUAGGUCACAGAUUUAUUUACCGAUCAUAUAUCAUCAAAUUAAUUAGUCACAUAUUAUUUCGAGAUCACAAAUCAAAAAAAAAUUAGAUCACAAAUUAUUUUGAGGUCAGAAAUUAAAAUUUUUAUAAGUUAUAGAUUAUUUUUUAGUCACGAAUUAUAAAAUUUUAAGGUCACAAAUCAAAUCGUUGAGGUCACAGAUUAUAAAAUUUUAAGGUCACAAACCAUCGCAACCUCACCGCCAAAGCUAACACAACUACCACCGGCAAAACACACAACCGAACACGACAAGAGAUUGCACCACACAACCGUCGACCACCAUCACUUUGCCGACACCACUACCACCGGCAAAUCAGGAAUGAGCAGAGAAGAGGCAAGCUCCACGCGGUCCACAUGGACCACACCACUACCUAGAUCCAUCGCACUGCAACCUAGAUCCACCAUACCGGGCGACGCUGUUGCGAAACACACACCAUACCGCCACCUAGAUCCACACCAUACCACCACACCACACCAUAUCGUCAGGCAGGCCAGUUUAGUAGAGAAGAAGCACGCACACAUCUCCAUCGAAGUCUCCGAUCAGAGAAGAAUCGACUCUCAUACCCCCAGGUAAAUGCCAUGGACCGCCGGUGAAAUUCCCAAUCGUCGCAAGAUGCAGUUGUGGGUUAACGGGAGAGAAGAUGCUAUGUGAGAUUGAAAAUCUUAGGGAUGAAAUUGCCGAUG